GCAAGGCCGCAGAUGUGGGGUCACCCUGGGCUGUGUCACCCCCAAGGACUCUCCCAGGGAAGGAUCCUCUUCUGAGCUUUUACUUUCCUAUCAGCAGGAGUGAGCGGGCUUUGCUUGCUUUGGGCAACAAAUCACUUUAGGCCUUUGGCCCCAAACCAUCUCUAGAAUGUGGUCACCUGCCAUCUCAGCAUCUGGCCACCAUAAUGUGGUCAAGAAAACUUGUUGACUUCUAUUACCCCCAUCUAUUACAGCUAAGCUGUGUGAUGGCAGAGAUUUUUCUUGUUUUGAUCACUGUUUUAUCUGCAAGAUCUACAACUGGCCCAGGGAACUAUGCAAGUAAGACUUAUUGAAUACAUGAGUAAAAGAGAAAAGGUGAAGAUGAUAAAUAAUGCAAAUACUCUCAUAGGAUCUAUUGCAUGCAAAGCACUAGUAGACAAUUUCCCAAAGGAUGAAUAGGAAGUGCCUACUUCAUAGUUGACACGGUGAAGAUGAGCCUCUUUCCCCAUCCGCAUCUCAAAUAGCUAACCAAGUGUCAGCAAUGAAACAACAUUUCUGAAUUCAAAUGGGACUGGAGUCAGAUGAUGAUUCUAAGAAAAAGGCCACGGGAACAGCAUCUAUCCCACUUCAACAUUUUCUCCUCAUUUGAAUAUCCCAUUUGUGAAUCUUGCAAGAAGGGAAAGAAAUCACUCAUUGUUUAGGAGAUUUCAUGCCUUCCCUCCAUCCUGCUUCUGGAGGUAAAUCCUAAAAGAGUCGGCACAGCACUUCUCACCUGUGUCACUGCCAGUCCCGGGAAGCCCAGCUUCUACCGUGCUUUUAAGUGCUCGCAUGACUAAUAAAGUGUGACAUGGCUCAGAUUUGCUAGCCUUCUCUUCAGGGCGUACAUUCUAGCUGACAAAAUAUGGCUAAAUUUAGCUGCCUUUAGACAACAAGCGUCUUCAUAACAAAAGGGGUCUCAAAGGCGACAAUGAGCUGAGACAUGUCCCUGUCCUAACGCGAAUUACUCAGAGCCCCGUGGACACUCAGCCCCCACAAACACACAAGCGCUCCUGGGCACCGUCGAAUUGUGUCCACAGUGACCAGGGCAGGGGUUUCUUUCAUGGCCUCUGGCCCCUAAGAGUCUUUACCAAGGUGGGCGGAAGGGGAUUCAGACAGUGAUGGAUCAAGUAGGGGCCAUAAUUCAGUAGCAGAGGCUUCUGCAGCACUGAUUACAGGCUGUUCUAACCACUGUA
Molecule: long non-coding RNA, 1229 nt
Organism: Heterocephalus glaber (naked mole-rat)
Lineage: Eukaryota; Metazoa; Chordata; Mammalia; Rodentia; Bathyergidae
Source: RefSeq, a predicted model, not a curated record